AUUCCAGCUCCAAUAGCGUAUAUUUAAGUUGUUGCAGUUAAAAAGCUCGUAGUUGGAUUUUGGGUCGGGGGCACCGGUCCGCCGUUCCGGUGUGCACUGGUGGCCCCUUCCUUUCUGCCGGGGACGUGCGUCGCACUUAAUUGGGUGGCGUUCGGAGUCGGCGUUGUUACUUUGAAAAAAUUAGAGUGUUCAAAGCAAGCCAUCGCUCUGAAUACAUUAGCAUGGAAUAACAUGAUAGGACUCCGGUCUUAUUUUGUUGGUUUCCGAGACUGGAGUAAUGAUUAAGAGGGACAGUCGGGGGCAUCCGUAUCUCAUUGUCAGAGGUGAAAUUCUUGGAUUUUGGAAAGAUGAACUACUGCGAAGGCAUUUACCAAGGAUGUUUUCAUUG
RNAcentral lists this ribosomal RNA (388 nucleotides) under Prasinoderma sp. RNAcentral describes it as "partial small subunit ribosomal RNA". It matches the Rfam family "Eukaryotic small subunit ribosomal RNA", at positions 582 to 975 of the family's 1831-position model. Lineage: Eukaryota; Viridiplantae; Prasinodermophyta; Prasinodermophyceae; Prasinodermales; Prasinodermaceae. The record is from RNAcentral.